This 230-nucleotide ribosomal RNA is filed under the name uncultured Alicycliphilus sp. RNAcentral's name for it is "partial 16S ribosomal RNA". It matches the Rfam family "Bacterial small subunit ribosomal RNA", at positions 548 to 774 of the family's 1533-position model. The record is from RNAcentral. Lineage: Bacteria; Pseudomonadati; Pseudomonadota; Betaproteobacteria; Burkholderiales; Comamonadaceae.
AGAGAUGCAUUGGGCUUAAAGCGUGCGCAGGCGGUUUUGUAAGACAGAGGUGAAAUCCCCGGGCUCAACCUGGGAACUGCCUUUGUGACUGCAAGGCUGGAGUGCGGCAGAGGGGGAUGGAAUUCCGCGUGUAGCAGUGAAAUGCGUAGAUAUGCGGAGGAACACCGAUGGCGAAGGCAAUCCCCUGGGACUGCACUGACGCUCAUGCACGAAAGCGUGGGGAGCAAACA